GGGCCCGCACAAGCGGUGGAGCAUGUGGUUUAAUUCGAUGAUACGCGAGGAACCUUACCAGGGCUUAAAUGGGAGAUGACAGGGGCAGAGACGCCCUUUUCUUCGGACAUCUUUCAAGGUGCUGCAUGGUUGUCGUCAGCUCGUGCCGUGAGGUGUCAGGUUAAGUCCUAUAACGAGCGCAACCCCUGUCGUUAGUUACCAGCAAGUAAUGUUGGGUACUCUAGCGAGACUGCCGGUGCAAACCGUGAGGAAGGUGGGGAUGACGUCAAAUCAUCACGGCCCUUACGUCCUGGGCCACACACGUGCUACAAUGGUUGGUACAGAGGGCAGCUACCGGGUGACCGGAUGCGAAUCUCUAAAGCCAAUCUCAGUUCGGAUUGGAGUCUGCAACUCGACUCUAUG
RNAcentral lists this ribosomal RNA (402 nucleotides) under uncultured bacterium. Its description in RNAcentral is "bacterial SSU rRNA". It matches the Rfam family "Bacterial small subunit ribosomal RNA", at positions 917 to 1322 of the family's 1533-position model. The record is from RNAcentral.